This is a long non-coding RNA of Hippocampus comes (tiger tail seahorse), 812 nucleotides long. RefSeq lists it as uncharacterized. The transcript is spliced from 4 exons. The record is from RefSeq and is a predicted model, not a curated record. NCBI's taxonomy places the organism in Eukaryota, Metazoa, Chordata, Actinopteri, Syngnathiformes, Syngnathidae.
GGUGGGUGGGUGUGCGCGUGUGUACGAGAGACGUAACAGCGAAUGAAGAAGGGAGGAUCCUGGAUGGUGGCAGUGGAUAGAUAAAAAGAGCCUCGCAACCACGGACAUCCUGGUGUCAACUCCAAGAGUCCAAGACUUCUCCUUGGUUUACUUUUCCUGAAACAUUAACUGUGAACAAGAUGAAAUUAGAUCUUCUUGCCCUGACCCUAUGCCUCCUUGGUACAGCCGUGCUGUGCAGAGGGCAGACAACCACAAUUUCCCCAAGUUCAACUAAGGUGACACCCACUCCAGCCCCGGGUACACUUGCUCCUUCCUCAACUUCAGCAACGACACCUCAUCCAGGCUCGACCACGCCGAAUCCAGGUUCAACUACACCCCAUCCAGGAACCGCCACGCCUGAUCCAGGCAUGACAACCAGUACCGCGCCAUCCACCGCAGUAGCAACUGGCUCAUCUCCAUCACCGAAUCCAACUACCCCAGCAAAAGAGACCACUCCCAUCACUGGGGGUCAAGGUGGUGGUGGAGGUGGGUCUGAGGGGCUUUCAGACGGCGCCAUUGCAGGCAUCACAAUUGGUUCUAUUGCCGGCGUGGCCGCUAUCGGUGGCGGUAUCUUUGGAGUACUCAAGUACACUGGGAGAGUGUGAGAAGCAAGACGGCUUCUAUGAUGAAUCAGCAUCAUAUAUUUUUUAAAUAAAUUAUUUGGCGGGAUAUGUGAAGAGACAUUUCUGUGCACUUGGAUUUAAAUUGAAAGGGCUAAUUAUACAUGAAUGCGUGGUGUUUUGUUUUUGGUAAAUAAAUAUUCCUGAAAAUCG